RNAcentral lists this ribosomal RNA (466 nucleotides) under uncultured bacterium. RNAcentral's name for it is "partial 16S ribosomal RNA". It matches the Rfam family "Bacterial small subunit ribosomal RNA", at positions 28 to 505 of the family's 1533-position model. The record is from RNAcentral.
GACGAACGCUGGCGGCGUGCUUAACACAUGCAAGUCGAACGGAAAGGCCCUGCUUUUGUGGGGUGCUCGAGUGGCGAACGGGUGAGUAACACGUGAGUAACCUGCCCUUGACUUUGGGAUAACUUCAGGAAACUGGGGCUAAUACCGGAUAGGAGCUCCUGCUGCAUGGUGGGGGUUGGAAAGUUUCUGCGGUUGGGGAUGGACUCGCGGCUUAUCAGCUUGUUGGUGGGGUAGUGGCUUACCAAGGCUUUGACGGGUAGCCGGCCUGAGAGGGUGACCGGCCACAUUGGGACUGAGAUACGGCCCAGACUCCUACGGGAGGCAGCAGUGGGGAAUAUUGCACAAUGGGCGGAAGCCUGAUGCAGCAACGCCGCGUGCGGGAUGACGGCCUUCGGGUUGUAAACCGCUUUCGCCUGUGACGAAGCGUGAGUGACGGUAAUGGGUAAAGAAGCACCGGCUAACUACG